AGUGUCUCCCUCAUUGUUGAACAGAGCAGUUUCAUUUCCUGACGAGGAUGACUUGCUGGCCUCUGUUCUCCCGGUGUGAGGUGUGCUUGGCUCCAUGGAACAGCCCAGACUGCUGCUUGCCAGUCCACACUGUCUUCUUGGGAUGCCACCUGUUCCCAGUCUCCAGCACCAAGUGCUUAUGAACACACAGCAGGAAGAGCUCCCAACCUUCAUGUGGCCUCCGCUGGAGCUUUAGAGUCUCUGCCCACCAGCCUUAGGGCAGCUCCCGAGGAUGUCAACAGAGCUGAGGAUCCAACCCAGGCCUGUGCCUAGACAAGCGGUCUAUCCAACCCCAAACAAAUUUUUAAACAAACAAUUCAAUGGUAAACCAAGUCAACCCAAAGAUACAUUUACUGAAAUGUAGAUCUCAUCUUCUAAGUGAUAAUUAGGAAUUCUUGAAGUCUUAAGUUAAAACUUACUUCUUAUAUUAGCUCAAUAAAACCUUGGCUUUCAAAGCAGACACAUGAGGAAUUAUCUUUUUUUUAAACAAAGGAUCCAUUCUUUCAUGAUCCAAGUUCAUUGCUUUCCCAUAUUUCCCCCUGUGUAUCUGGGCAGAGCACCUGCCG
Molecule: long non-coding RNA, 605 nt
Organism: Nannospalax galili (Upper Galilee mountains blind mole rat)
Lineage: Eukaryota; Metazoa; Chordata; Mammalia; Rodentia; Spalacidae
Exons: 3
Source: RefSeq, a predicted model, not a curated record